This 1447-nucleotide long non-coding RNA is filed under the name Homo sapiens (human). RNAcentral describes it as "HSALNT0062470". Lineage: Eukaryota; Metazoa; Chordata; Mammalia; Primates; Hominidae. The record is from RNAcentral.
ACAUUAGAAGUAUAUUGGGUUGGCUGGAAUACAAGGUUUGGGUUAAGUUUGGGAAGAGCAGGAAAAUAAAAGGAGGUGAGAAUUGAAAGAUAGUUUUGCUGUCUUUCUACGCACGCACACACACACACACAUCCUCCCAAGAAAUUUUUCAGUCUCAGAGCUAGUUUGUUGAUUGACACACAGAUAUUCAGAUUUCUGCUACUUUUUUUUUUUUUAUCACUGCAAGCAGCAGAUUUAUUUAUUACUCACACACACAUAUAAAUGUAUUUUAUAUAUUUGGGCUUUGUUUACUAUUUAUGAGGUUUAAAACAAUUUUGGGAGAUCAGAUGAGGCUUUCAUUCACUUUGAUAGCUUCCUCAUCUGUAAAAUGGGAGAAAUAAUAAUGUAUAGAUCUCAAAGGGUAGUUGUAACCCUUAAAUGACUUAAAUUGCAAAAGUGUUUAGAUCAGUCCUUGGGGUAAUUGUUAGCCUUUAUUAUUAUCAUAAUUGUUUGCUGCUCACAUGAAGAGAAACAUGAGUUGAAGGAAUUUUACUCUAGGUCCCAAAUUCUACUGUAAAUGCAAUUGCAUUUUGCUGGUGAAAUACUUUCUGCCAUUUUGCCAUUGUGGAAACAUUGCUUGACAAUGACUGAUGUCAUUUCUUGCAUGCUUUUUAAACUUGGUAUAAAUGAAGUCUAAUCGAUUGAAUUAUAUCAAGCCCAUUGUUUUCAUUUUUAAAAACAAUACGAAGGCCAGAACAAGCCAGGGAGAUACUGAGUAAAUAUGAAAAGAGAAAUCUCUACAGAAAAAGUAUUCUUGUAGAAAAAAGAGAAAAGUAUUUUCCUUGCAGCAGGGCCCUGACGUGAAUCCAUUUCAAGAGCUGAUCGCAGUUGCUCUGUCUCUGACUCCUGGCUCCAGCCGUUCUCACCAAGACUCUAGGCUAGUUGUGGCCUGUGGUUCUGCAACUCAGCUCUUCGAAGGGCAGGAAGGAAGGGUGGACCUGCUUGAGAUUUCCUGUCUUGCUGUGAGUCACUGAUACAGAGCACUUCUUUUGCACUUCGCUGUCUACUAUCCAGAGAGCAGGAAUGCAGCAGCUGAAGUCAAACCGGAACCAUCCCUCUGCGUCAUGAUAACUGCUCUCACCACCUAUUCGUGCAUGGUCUGCACAUCCUCAGGGGUUGCUCUUCCGCCUAUGGAGCAAGACACUGAAAGAAAGGCUCUAUUAUCUCAAUUCUGCAGGCUGUGAAGUUCAAAGAUUGAGUGACUGCAUCAGGUGGCUCCUGGUGAGGGCCUCCUACUGUGUCAAAAUGAGGUGGAAGUGGAAUCAAGUGCAUGAAAUAACUGUCAAAACAUGAGAGGUAACCUGUCUUUAUAACAACUGGCUCUAUUGGGAAUUACCCCACUCCAACAAGAACUAACCCGGUUUCGUGAGAAAAAUAUUAAUCCAGUUCAUGCACGUCCGUGUGAAGA